UUUCCUGACACUAUGAAUUUUCUGACACUGUGAAUUUUCUACUAAAAUAUCAGCCCCGUUCCUUACAGAAAAUUCUAAAUCUUCUAUUUUCUUUCCGAUUUUAGCACAACUCGUUUCCAACUUAUAUUUUACUUCUUUAAGUCCAAUAAAAAUAAUAUUUCACACUAUUUUCAUUUAUAUUUACUUUUAUAUCAAGAAGUCGAUAAAUUACAUUCUCCACCCCUUAAAAGAGUUUCGUCUGUAAAACUCAA
Molecule: long non-coding RNA, 251 nt
Filed under: Ananas comosus (pineapple)
Lineage: Eukaryota; Viridiplantae; Streptophyta; Magnoliopsida; Poales; Bromeliaceae
Description: long non-coding RNA (ACOM_LNC001164)
Source: RNAcentral